UAGAAUUUCAGGUGUAGCGGUGAAAUGCGUAGAGAUCUGAAGGAAUACCGAUGGCGAAGGCAGCCACCUGGGUCAACACUGACGCUCAUGUACGAAAGCGUGGGGAGCAAACAGGAUUAGAUACCCUGGUAGUCCACGCCGUAAACGAUGUCUACUAGAAGCUCGGAGCCUCGGCUCUGUUUUUCAAAGCUAACGCAUUAAGUAGACCGCCUGGGGAGUACGGCCGCAAGGUUAAAACUCAAAUGAAUUGACGGGGGCCCGCACAAGCGGUGGAGCAUGUGGUUUAAUUCGAUGCAACGCGAAGAACCUUACCUACACUUGACAUACAGAGAACUUACCAGAG
Molecule: ribosomal RNA, 343 nt
Filed under: Pseudoalteromonas agarivorans
Lineage: Bacteria; Pseudomonadati; Pseudomonadota; Gammaproteobacteria; Alteromonadales; Pseudoalteromonadaceae
Description: bacterial SSU rRNA
Rfam family: Bacterial small subunit ribosomal RNA
Source: RNAcentral